This is a long non-coding RNA of Chelonia mydas (Green sea turtle), 1281 nucleotides long. RefSeq lists it as uncharacterized. The transcript is spliced from 2 exons. The record is from RefSeq and is a predicted model, not a curated record. Lineage: Eukaryota; Metazoa; Chordata; Testudines; Cheloniidae.
CAUUAGAUCAUCUAGCCUGUCCUCCUGUGUAACAUAGGCCAUUACAUUUCACCCAGUUACCCCUGUAUUGAGCCCAGUAACUUGUCACACCCAGAAAGGCAUCCACUCUUGAUCUGAAGUCUUCAAAAGAUAGGAUUUUGUUACAGAGGUUAGUCACCCUCACUGUUAAAAAACUGUUCCUUAUUUCCAAUUUGGCUUUGUCUGGCUUCAGCUUCCAGUUACUGGGUCUUAUUAUGCCUUUCUUUCUCUGCUAGACGAAAGAGGCCUUUAGUGCCCUAUUUUCUCCCCAUGAUGGUACUUAUACACUGUUAUCAUCCAACAUCUCAGUCUUCUUUUGGGAAUGUAUUCAGUCUCCUAACUGGAAACACAAGGAGACUGUUUUCCCCUCUUUUUUUAAACCACUGCAAAAACAACAUGAGCAACUGUAACAUGUUAAACACUUCCUGGCAGUGCGACAAAAAUCUAGCAUCUAAAAUGUCAGUGAUGAGGCCAGGAGGAUUUACAUGAUUAACACGACUUAUGAGAAGUAUUAACUCCUUCACUGCCUUCAGAGCAUCCUCUUGAAAAGCGGAAGCCUGUGACUAGAGCACAAUGGAAAGAAAGAGAGAGGACGUCAAGAACAAAGAGAAAUGGCCAUGCUCUGUAUUUUUCUGUAUUGUUAUAUAUGCUAUCACUGAAGAUAUCUGAGCCAGGGCCCCAGCUAGUGUAAAUCAGCAGUGCUCUCAUAGCUAUACCGGUUGAUACCAGCUGAGGUAUGUUUAUGUUUUACAUAAAGACCUAUGAUCCCGCUCCCCCCCCUCCCCCGACUUGCUGCUACCUCUUCCAAACCCUGGAGCAAAGUCAUUCAUAAUUGUGAGUAUAUAACAGCAGAAUCAAUUAAUAAAUACAAAAGUAAACACUUGCAUAGUAAUCUAUAUCUUCCAAACUGUAUGCAAAGAGGAGUUAAUUAAGGUUACCAACACCCCUUUGGGCUGCAUUAAUUUUAUUAUUCCAUUUUAUAGAUGAGAGAGCAGUUAACAGGUUAAGGGACUGACCCAGGGCCACACAGCAGGUCACUUACAGAAGCAGGAUUAACUUGGGAGUUCCUGUCUGCCAGUCCCAACAUUACUCCACUAGGGUCAUGCUGCCUCUCCUAUUGCUGUAGGAAUAAUUGAUGUUAUAGAUUUAACAGCAUGACUUCAGUGCAGGCUCCAAUGGGAGGGCAUUGGCUGAGAGGCAGCAAAACCUCAUUUGAACCAAAAUAAAGAGGUCCAGAAAAAAAGAUGAAAAACAUUUGAAACA